This is a long non-coding RNA of Gasterosteus aculeatus aculeatus (three-spined stickleback), 507 nucleotides long. The record is from Ensembl. Lineage: Eukaryota; Metazoa; Chordata; Actinopteri; Perciformes; Gasterosteidae.
GUAAGAAAAUCUCACAAAUAGAUCAGGCUCAGUAGCCUAAUUAUAGGCUCUUACAUUUUAGCUUGAAUUGAUUUAUUUAAUUCAAAUAUGCUAGAUUACUGUGUACGCCAUUAGCAAUGGCAAAUGUUAUGUAAAAAAGUCCGCAGACAGACGAGAAGAAGCUGCUGAAAGCUCUCAGUGGAUCGUCUCAUCAACUUAAACAACAAACUGCCGAUAUCAACGAGCGGUUCGCUCCACUGGAGCGUUCGGGACUCUCCAGGUUUCUGUCCAUAGAGGAGAGGAUGGCGGCUCUGGAGGAACUGACUCAAAGAAGAGCAGACAGGCGCACAAUCCCAAAAUAGCGACUAAUCUCGCCUCAUAAUGAGGCGGUGACCUCGUAUUUGCUCCGGGAAAAGUCCAGAUUUAGACGACGUCAUUGUCUCCGCCUGUGAGAUGUAUUGUGAGACGGGACGCAGGAGCUUCAGGUUCAGCCGGAACACUCAUUGCGGGCGGAAGCUGCGAAGGAUU